This is a non-coding RNA of Oryzias latipes (Japanese medaka), 926 nucleotides long. The record is from RefSeq and is a predicted model, not a curated record. Lineage: Eukaryota; Metazoa; Chordata; Actinopteri; Beloniformes; Adrianichthyidae.
AGACGUCAGUGCUGGACCGGAAGUUGAGGCGCUCCAACGUCCCUUCAGCUAACUAACUCACGCGCAGGAAGGUCAGCUGAAAACAAACUCACGUUUCUGUUGCUGUUUGGAUUCUAUGCCGUGAACCUUCUGAUUUAAAGUUCUGCAGCAAUGAAGCCUCACAAGCUCUCUGCAGCUAAAAGGCUCACGAAACCUAUUCUGUUCGGGAGCAUCAUUGUUGGACUUGCCACUGUUUACAUAAACAGACACAGGUUCUUUGAAGAUGUGGAUGAACUUCGGGCCCAGGAGCGCGCUCGCAAUGACGCCAAGAGGGGAGAGGUCAUGGAGAGGCGGCAGAGACAGAAAGAGGAGCUGUCUGAGAAGAAGAAACUGCAAGGAAGUGACUGAACACAGCUGCACAACGCUCUAUCAGUGGACUAAAGGCCUGCACAAGGACUGAAAUCCAUCAGGCAGCCAGAAGAAAGUCUGAUGAAGAGGCAAUUAAAAACUCUUCUUUGGGGCUUUUUGAAGUCACCUGGGCAGGAAAUGUGUGUUGUGCAUCAAUCCAGACUGUUUGUGCUCCAACCAACACAACGUUUGUGCCUCUAGAUGUAAUUUUUUGUUAUCAGUUAAUUAUGAAUUCAAAUCAUGCACUUGCUUGUUUGUUUGUUUGUUAGGUAGAGGACAGAAAAAAACACAAGCUGUCGGCUGAAACUUCUUUUUGCGGAUGAUAUUAGAAAACAAAUCGGAUUGUUCUAACAAAGUGCACCAGUUCACCCUUUAAGUUAAUUUAGUUAAAUACUGGUAUUGGUACAAAGUGGCGUUUUUGCUUCUCAAAAUUAAAUAUUUUGACAUAGAAAGCUCAGAAAAAUGACAUUGCAGCCAUUAUUGAAAUGGUUUGAAUUGUUUUGUCUAUAAAAUAUUAAAACAUGUUUUUUUCACUUUCA